Molecule: ribosomal RNA, 496 nt
Filed under: uncultured bacterium
Lineage: Bacteria
Description: partial 16S ribosomal RNA
Rfam family: Bacterial small subunit ribosomal RNA
Source: RNAcentral
UUGAACGCUGGCGGCAGGCCUAACACAUGCAAGUCGAGCGCGAAAGGUUUUCGGACUGAGUAAAGCGGCGGACGGGUGAGUAACGCGUGGGAAUCUGCCCAGUAGUGGGGGACAACAGUCGGAAACGACUGCUAAUACCGCAUACGCCCUACGGGGGAAAGGGGGGGAUCUUCGGACCCCUCGCUAUUGGAUGAGCCCGCGUCGGAUUAGCUAGUUGGUAGGGUAAAGGCCUACCAAGGCUACGAUCCGUAACUGGUCUGAGAGGAUGAUCAGUCACACUGGAACUGAGACACGGUCCAGACUCCUACGGGAGGCAGCAGUGGGGAAUAUUGGACAAUGGGGGCAACCCUGAUCCAGCCAUGCCGCGUGUGUGAAGAAGGCCUUAGGGUUGUAAAGCACUUUCAGUGGGGAGAAAGGUUGUUUACUUAAUACGUAAAUAAAUUGAUGUUACCCACAGAAGAAGCACCGGCUAACUCCGUGCCAGCAGCCGCGGUAA